GCUACACAUGCAAGUCGAGCGCACUCUUCGGAGUGAGCGGCGGACGGGUUAGUAACGCGUGGGAAUAUACCCAGAUCUAAGGAAUAGCCACUGGAAACGGUGAGUAAUACCUUAUACGCCCUUCGGGGGAAAGAUUUAUCGGAUUUGGAUUAGCCCGCGUUAGAUUAGAUAGUUGGUGGGGUAAUGGCCUACCAAGUCUACGAUCUAUAGCUGGUUUUAGAGGAUGAUCAGCAACACUGGGACUGAGACACGGCCCAGACUCCUACGGGAGGCAGCAGUGGGGAAUCUUGGACAAUGGGCGCAAGCCUGAUCCAGCCAUGCCGCGUGAGUGAUGAAGGCCUUAGGGUCGUAAAGCUCUUUCGCCAGGGAUGAUAAUGACAGUACCUGGUAAAGAAACCCCGGCUAACUCCGUGCCAGCAGCCGCGGUAAUACGGAGGGGGUUAGCGUUGUUCGGAAUUACUGGGCGUAAAGCGUACGUAGGCGGGUUGUUAAGUUAGAGGUGAAAUCCCAGGGCUCAACCCUGGAACUGCCUUUAAUACUGGCAACCUAGAGUUCGAGAGAGGUGAGUGGAAUUCCGAGUGUAGAGGUGAAAUUCGUAGAUAUUUGGAGGAACACCAGUGGCGAAGGCGGCUCACUGGCUCGAUACUGACGCUGAGGUACGAAAGUGUGGGGAGCAAACAGGAUUAGAUACCCUGGUAGUCCACACCGUAAACGAUGAAUGCCAGUCGUCGGGUAGUAUACUAUUCGGUGACACACCUAACGGAUUAAGCAUUCCGCCUGGGGAGUACGGUCGCAAGAUUA
RNAcentral lists this ribosomal RNA (801 nucleotides) under uncultured marine bacterium. Its description in RNAcentral is "bacterial SSU rRNA". It matches the Rfam family "Bacterial small subunit ribosomal RNA", at positions 48 to 896 of the family's 1533-position model. The record is from RNAcentral.